This 1481-nucleotide ribosomal RNA is filed under the name uncultured Bordetella sp. RNAcentral describes it as "partial 16S-23S ribosomal RNA intergenic spacer". It matches the Rfam family "Bacterial small subunit ribosomal RNA". Lineage: Bacteria; Pseudomonadati; Pseudomonadota; Betaproteobacteria; Burkholderiales; Alcaligenaceae. The record is from RNAcentral.
UCGAUCGCGUAGAGUGAACGCUGGCGGUAGGCCUAACAUGCAAGUCCAGAACGGCAACUGCAGAGCUUGCUCUCUGGGUGGCAGUGGCGGACGGGUGAGGAAUACAUCGGAAUCUACUCUGUCGUGGGGGAUAACGUAGGGGAAACUUACGCUAAUACCGCAUACGACCUACGGGUGAAAGCUCAGAGGACCUUCGGGCCUUGCGCGAUUGAAUGAGCCGAUGUCGGAUUAGCUAGUUGGCGGGGUAAAGGCCCACCAAGGCGACGAUCUGUAGCUAAUUGCGAGGAGGAUGAUCAGCCACACUGGAACUGAGACACGGUCAGACUCCUACGGGGGGCAGCAGUGGGGAAUAUUGGACAGUGGGCGCAAGCCUGAUCAGCCAUACCGCGUGGGUGAAGAGGGCCUUCCCGGGUUGUAAAGCCCUUUUGUUGGGAAAGAAAUCCAGCUGGCUAUGCCGGUUGGGAUGACGGUACCCAAAGAAUAAGCACCGGCUAACUUCGUGCCAACAGCCGCGGUAAUACGAAGGUGCGAGCGUUAAUCGGAAUUACUGGGCGUAAAGCGUGCGCAGGCGGUUGCCGUAAAGGGCAGAUGUGAAAUCCCCGGGCUCAACCUGGGAACUGCAUUUGUGACUGCAUGGCUAGAGUACGGUAGAGGGGAUGGAAUUCCGCGUGCUGGCAGUGAAAUGCGUAGAUAUGCGGAGGAGCACCGAUGGCGAAGGCAAUCACCUGGACCUGUACUGACGCUCAUGCACGAAAGCGUGGGGAGCAGCUGGGGAUUAGAUACCCUGGUAGUCCACGCCCUAAACGAUGCGAACUGGAUGUUGGGUGCAAUUUGGCACGCAGUAUCGAAACUAACGCGUUAAGUUCGCCGCCUGGGGAGUACGGUCGCAAGACUGAAACUCAAAGAAAUUGACAGGAGCCCCGCACAAGCGGUGGAUGAUGUGGAUUAAUUCGAUGCAACGCGAAAAACCUUACCUACCCGCCAACAUGUCUGGAAUGCCGAAGAAUUUGGCAGUGCUCGCAGAGAACCGGAACACAGGUGCUGCAUGGCUGUCGUCGGCUCGUGUCGUGGGAUGUUGGGUUAAGUCCCGCAACGAGCGCAACCAUAUCAUUGGUUGCUACAAUUCACUCUAAUGAGACUGCCGGUGACAAACCGGAGGAAGGUGGGGAUGACGUCAGUCUGCUCAGCCCUUAUGGGUAGGGCUUCACGUCAUACAAUGGUCGGGACAGAGGGUCGCCAACCCGAGGGAGCCAAUCCCAGAAACCCGAUCGUAGUCCGGAUCGCAGUCUGCAACUCGACUGCGUGAAGUCGGAAUCGCUAGUAAUCGCGGAUCAGCAUGUCGCGGUGAAUACGUUCCCGGGUCUUGUACACACCGCCCGUCACACCAUGGGAGUGGGUUUUACCAGAAGUAGUUAGCCCUAACCGCAAGAGGGGCGAUUGCAAAUAGGAUUCAUGACUGGGGUGAAGUCGUAACAAGGUAA